This is an RNA transcript of Phalaenopsis equestris, 3285 nucleotides long. It is a transcript of the gene named nodulin homeobox, with no coding region annotated. Lineage: Eukaryota; Viridiplantae; Streptophyta; Magnoliopsida; Asparagales; Orchidaceae. The transcript has 20 exons. The record is from RefSeq and is a predicted model, not a curated record.
UCGUGCGUUUUUCUCUGUCUAUAAAUCUUUCAUUCUGAGAUUUAACCACCGUGCGGCCAAAUGAACGUCGCCGAGGCGCACCCGGCGAACUUCUCCGCUGCGGCUAAAUCUCCCUUUGGCUGAGCCACCACCUUGGAUUUGGUUACGGCGCCGUGCCCUGUUGGCCAUUAGCGCGGCUGACGAGAUGUUUGACCUUAUUUCGGCUAUUGAAGAGCUGAGUGGGAUCCCCCCUAAAGAGAUUACCAAGUUGCUGAAAGAGACCGACACUUUCACCAUACAGUUCAAUGAUUCAAGAGGGUGCUCUAGACAAAUUGAUCUAGAGGGUCUAGCAUCUUCUCUACCAUUGCACAUUAUUGCAGUACUAUUGUCAAAUGGUCGUGGUGAGAAUUUUUUGCAUUUGCUUCAUGGAAUUCGCCUUCUGUAUAGCUUUUCUGACCUCGCAACUCGUCACUCCAGACUCGAGCAGAUUCUUCUUGACGAUGUAAAACUAUGUGAACAAGUGAUGGAUUUGGUGAUUUUCAUGCUGAUUGUUCUUGCUCAAUGUGAUCAGGACAAUCAUGUUGGAAGUUCCCUACCUGUUAUACAUGCUGCACUUGUUGCUUGCAGUUUCCAUCUCUUAACAGGUUAUAUCUCAUCACAAUGGCAAGAUGUUGCUAAUGUUAUGCUUGCUCAUCCUAAGGUUGAUAUAUUCAUGGAUGUAGCGUUUGAUUCUGUGCAAGAGACAUUCAGGCUAUUACGUAUGAAGUUAUCUAUGCUAAAUCAUAAUGUCUUGUGCAACUCUUUGAGUAUUUCUAUUGCUGAAAGGACUGCCAGUUUUAUCUUCCAGCAAUGUGAGGUGUCAUUACAAUAUCUUCUUUUCCUUUGCCAGCAAAAAGUGUUCCGAGAUCGCUUGCUUAAAAAUAAGGAGCUGUGUAAAAAUGGGGGUAUUCUCUCUCUUACUUGUACCAUACUGAAGUUAACUACUCCAGACUGUUUUAAGGAGUCCCUUGAUGUUUUGGCUGCUAUCUCUAGAUUGAAAUCAAGAAUACUAUCCAUUUUACUGCAACUCUGCGAAGCUGAAAAUUUCUCUUAUCUUGACGAGGUUGCUGGUAGCCAAAAGUGCUUGCAUCUGGCAAAAUCAAUAACCAUUCAGAUACUUGAUAUUCUGAAGGUUGGGUUCAAGAGAGAAGCCAUAGAAGUCAGUGAUUCUGUUGGCAGGAGAUAUCCGAAGGGCUUCUUACUACUUAAUUCACUGCGUUUAGCUGAUAUCUUUUCCGAUGAUUCCAAUUUUCGGUCUUUUUUUAUGGCAAAUGCCAUACAUGUUCUUAAUGAACUUUUGGCGGUUCCUCACCAAGUAUUUCUAUCCAAUUGGUGUACUGUUGAUGCUCAUCUGUCUGAAGAAGAUGGUAAUCUAGAGUAUGAUCCAUUUAUUGCUGCUAGUUUGGCAUUGGUUCUUCAGAGUGGUAGUCCAGAGAGCAUUCUAUCAUCAGUUUCUCAACCAAGUGAAAUAAACUUCUCGUUCCAUAGUAACUUUAAUGGUUUUCACUUGGUUACUUACGGACAGCAGAGAACAUCUUAUUUGAUCAAAAUAGUGGCAAAUCUUCACUGUUUUGUACCUAGUUUUUGUGAAGAAGAAGAACGAAAUUUAUUUCUCAAAAAGUUUCAUGAGAGCUUGCUUAUGGAGACCACUGACUCAUUGUUGCAUCCGGUGGAUGUUAACACCCAUAAAGCUGCUACAAUUUGUGAAAACUUAAGUUCCUUGUCAAAUUAUGGAGCAUCUUUGAUUCCCAACAUGCUGAAUGAUGAAGAUGUACAACUUUUGAGGGUUUUCACUGAACAACUAAAGAAACUAACUUUACCAAAUAGUGACAACCGUGCUCAGGAAACAAUACAAACUGAAGGUGGGAAAAUGCAAGUUGAUGGUAACAAUCCAAUGCAGCAAUCUUUGCCUACUUGGGUAAAAUUUGCAAAUGAAAAUUUGAAUAAAAAUCAUCAGGACGCUCAGAAUGGUGUAGGCAGGCCUUAUCUGCUUGUCAAAGCUGAUCCCAAGGUCCAUGAUGAUGUUUCGGACAUAAAAGGAAAUAAUAUUGACAUAAAAGGAGGGACACCACUCAGCUCAUCAAGCCUGGAGUUGGAGCCUCUCUUGGGUACAGAGGUUGCAAAAGAAACUGGUUUUCAAGAAGAGGAGAAAGCUGAAGGCGUUCAUGGUGAAGAGAAGCAGCCAAGAAAGAGAAAACGUAAUAUCAUGAAUGAAAGACAGAUAUCUCUAAUUGAGAACGCACUCCUUGUAGAGCCUGAGAUGCAGCGGAAUGCAGCUAUGUUACAGUCAUGGGCAGAAAAGCUUUGUUCACAGGGAUCAGAGAUUACAGCUUCUCAGCUAAAGAAUUGGCUAAACAACAGGAAAGCUAGGCUUGCCCGUGCUGCCCGUGAAGCUAGAGCCCCUUCUGAAGGGGAGAACACCUAUGACAGUGCAGGGGAAGAACCCCACACAUCUGGAACCAUCCGAGGAGCUGGACAUCAACCUGAUACUCAUUUUGAGAGCCGUUUAUCAGAACCACGGCUGAGCUUUGUUGUCGUGGGACUACCAAGAGAAGGCGGCCUCGUAGGGGAGGGUGCACCAGGCGAAAAUGAAGGGACGAGAGAAGAGCCCGAGGGUCUGCACGGACCUUGAUGAGGCCUCUGAGCUCGGAUAACGCUGCAAUGGUGCAGCACUGCUCGUGCCUUCACGCCUAAAUUGCGGGCCGCAGAAUCUACAGAAGAUUUGAACAACAGAAAGCACAAACAGUAAAGCAGCCUGCUUAAAAGGAUUAAAUGAUAUCUAGAAGCAUACCACAAGUGUCUGCAUUUCCAGCGAGUCUUCUUUCUGUUUCAAUGGAUGAUAUAGACAAAUCUUGCAAGUCAAUACUUCUGAGAAUUGAAGAUGCAUAACUGGAACAAAAGAGCUUAGUUUGGCAGCACACAGAUACAGACAAAGUUAUCGAUACUUACAAUUCAAGCAGAUCAAUGCUAAAUGGAGGACUAACAUGCCGGAAGAAGUUUGCUAUUUACAAAUCAACCAUGUCCGUCCAUCCAUUUUGCAGAAAUUUAAAAAUAUAUAACCUGAAGUUUGAUUCCACAUACAGAGAAGAUUCAAUGAACUUCAUAGUUUCACAGAUUAAAAGAACUUCAUUGUGUUGUAAAAUAUAAGAUUAGUAGGGAUGCUGUGUUCAUUAAACUUUAGAUGUUAAAUUAAUACAUAAAGCACAAGAAAAGCUAUUUGCUGCUUAAGGUACAAUGCAGCUCGAGGUCGAGCAACUAAGCCGAGAA